Non-coding RNA from Papio anubis (olive baboon), 44 nucleotides. The record is from Rfam. NCBI's taxonomy places the organism in Eukaryota, Metazoa, Chordata, Mammalia, Primates, Cercopithecidae.
UCAAAGGCUCUUUUGAGAGCCACCAUUUUUCCUGGCAGACAGCA